GCAUUCAGCCUCAUGCCCUCAUCGGCGCAGCUUAUCUCUCCCAUAGUCCCACUCCUCACGACUUCACCAAGCCAUCAUCUCCGAUUCUCCGGAGGCUGCCGCUCACAGCCGUGUCUCCGUCUCCGGAAACCCUAGAUCUACCUACGAGGCUUCGAGUUUCUAGAUUUCUUCGGUGACUGAGGCAGAAAACAAGCACGUUGCACUCCAACAGUUGGUUGAAGUUUCUGUUGCUAAUGAUCAAUCUAUGUCGAAUAAGAAAGAUUAUAUGGAGGAUUCCAUUGAGAUUAUAAUUGAAAAAUUGCUUAAUGUUACCAAGGAUGGUGCUUCUAAAGUUGCAAGUGAAGCAAAACACUGUUUGACUAUAGUGUUGUCUCAACUCUCAAUAUGAUCCAUUCAGGUGUCUUAGUGUUAUCGCUCCUUUGCUUGCUGAAGACGAGAAGACUCUUGUAACCUAAGAAUUUCAAAGGUAUUUCACUAUUUUGUUUUCUCCAUGCAGUUAGUGUUCAAAUUUUCUUGUUGUAGUGUGUCACAUGUUAGAUGUCGGGAAGAGUCUCUUACAACUAAGAGAGAUGCACCUCAGAGCAAGCAAUACAGGUACUGGUUUUCUAUUUUUGAUUCUCAUAGUGGAAGGUUGCUCUGAAUCUAAUCUCUCAACAAUUAUACAUACUGAUGGAGUGAUGGGGGACAAACUGGUUGAACAAAGUUCACAUUGUGUCUUGGGAGACUACUGCUCACAGACAGGCGACAACCACUAGUCUCCAGCUCUCGUCUUCUCCGCAGGACUCCGGCUCUCCGACUUUCCACGCUCUCGGCUCUAAUGGUCUCACCCCUCUCAAGCUCUCGCUCCUGGUAACUCGGACUCUUUGAAAGAGACUGCUGGAGACGAACAAGGCCAAUCAAAUAUCCAGAUUUUUCAGCUAUCCAAUAUGCGGCCUCCUAUACCUAGAUUUUUCCAUUGGAAUCUGGGUAGCACCAGAAAUUUUCAAUCUGGCGGUUGAUUAUGGUGUUCACAAGCUUUGGGAGCACAACAAUGUUGGGGCAAUGAUUCCUUCUAUCUUGUACUCUUACAGUAGUACUAUAUGUUAUUUCAUGAUGAAAUUUACAGGGAAAAACACAAAAGAAAUUACUUAUGGAGUACUAGAUUUGAAGGCUUAUAGUAUUUGACUGGGGAGUACUAGAUUUGAAGGCUUAUAGUAUUUGACUGUUGGAAUUGCAUCCAUGUAUCAUAGUUUUUGUCUAUUCAUGAAAACAGUACCUGAAGUGUAUGAAAUGUCUAUAUGUUUUUCAGCAAA
This is a long non-coding RNA of Ipomoea nil (Japanese morning glory), 1292 nucleotides long. RefSeq lists it as uncharacterized. The transcript has 7 exons. Lineage: Eukaryota; Viridiplantae; Streptophyta; Magnoliopsida; Solanales; Convolvulaceae. The record is from RefSeq and is a predicted model, not a curated record.